This is a long non-coding RNA of Cannabis sativa, 654 nucleotides long. RefSeq lists it as uncharacterized. NCBI's taxonomy places the organism in Eukaryota, Viridiplantae, Streptophyta, Magnoliopsida, Rosales, Cannabaceae. The record is from RefSeq and is a predicted model, not a curated record. The transcript has 3 exons.
UUCCUUAAGUUUCAAGCUUGAGUUAUAGGUUUAAAGGGUUGAAAUUUUAUUCUGUGAUUGAUGGGAUUUAAUUGGGCCUUGGGUUUUAUUUUUAUGAUGUUUUAGGAUUGUUUGUAAUGCUUAUUUGGUAGGUUUGAUAGUUGUGGGGUGGAAAAGCUCCAAGCUUGAGUUUUAAGCUCAAAGCUUGAGCUUUAAUGGCACUUUUGAUUUAAGGGCAUGGUUUUGAUUUCUGUUACGUUGGAACUGUUAUAUGGAUGAUACAUAUGUCUCAUAUGAAGUUUGGAAUGAAUUGGUUAGGUUUUGAGUUAGUUUGGAGAGUUUAAAGUUGAAGAAAAUCGUGUUCCUGGCAGUUCAGAACCGGAAUUCCGGAUGUACCAACCGGAAUUCCGUUUGGUUAGUUUUCGGAAAAGUCGAAUUUCGUAUUUUGGCCAUAACUUUUCACUCGGGUGUCUGUUUUGUACGUUCUGUAUACCAUUUCGAAGCUUGCGACGAGAUCUAUGAUAUGGUGUAUAUUUUAGAGCCAAAAUAUAAUUUUCAUUUUAGUGAAUUUUUCCCUCAAGGUUUGGGCCCGGGAUGAUCGAUCGUUCUCCAAGCAGGUCGGCCAACAUACCUAAACCAGAAUUUGAGGUAAGGAAGUUAGAAGCUGUGUUCGGC